GGGCGCAGCCUGAUCCAGCCAUGCCGCGUGAGUGAUGAAGGCCUUAGGGUUGUAAAGCUCUUUUAUCCGGGACGAUAAUGACGGUACCGGAAGAAUAAGCCCCGGCUAACUUCGUGCCAGCAGCCGCGGUAAUACGAAGGGGGCUAGCGUUGCUCGGAAUCACUGGGCGUAAAGGGCGCGUAGGCGGCCGAUUAAGUCGGGGGUGAAAGCCUGUGGCUCAACCACAGAAUGGCCUUCGAUACUGGUUCGCUUGAGACCGGAAGAGGUUGG
This 270-nucleotide ribosomal RNA is filed under the name uncultured bacterium. Its description in RNAcentral is "partial 16S ribosomal RNA". It matches the Rfam family "Bacterial small subunit ribosomal RNA", at positions 373 to 661 of the family's 1533-position model. The record is from RNAcentral.